RNAcentral lists this ribosomal RNA (206 nucleotides) under uncultured Anaerolineaceae bacterium. RNAcentral's name for it is "partial 16S ribosomal RNA". It matches the Rfam family "Bacterial small subunit ribosomal RNA", at positions 1179 to 1382 of the family's 1533-position model. The record is from RNAcentral. Lineage: Bacteria; Bacillati; Chloroflexota; Anaerolineae; Anaerolineales; Anaerolineaceae.
AUGACGUCAAGUCAGCAUGGCCUUUAUAUCCUGGGCUACACACACGCUACAAUGGGAAGGGACAAUAGGUUGCGAAGCCGCGAGGCGGAGCCAAUCCAGCAAAACUUCCCUCAGUUCAGAUUGCAGGCUGCAACCCGCCUGCAUGAAGUUGGAGUUGCUAGUAAACGCAGGUCAGCCAUACUGCGUUGAAUACGUUCCCGGGGCUU